GAUGAACGCUGGUGGCGUGCCUAAUACAUGCAAGUCGAGCGAACAGACGAGGAGCUUGCUCCUCUGACGUUAGCGGCGGACGGGUGAGUAACACGUGGAUAACCUGCCUAUAAGACUGGGAUAACUUCGGGAAACCGGAGCUAAUACCGGAUAAUAUAUUGAACCGCAUGGUUCAAUAGUGAAAGACGGUUUUGCUGUCACUUAUAGAUGGAUCCGCGCCGCAUUAGCUAGUUGGUAAGGUAACGGCUUACCAAGGCAACGAUGCGUAGCCGACCUGAGAGGGUGAUCGGCCACACCGGAACUGAGACACGGUCCAGACUCCUACGGGAGGCAGCAGUAGGGAAUCUUCCGCAAUGGGCGAAAGCUUGACGGAGCAACGCCGCGUGAGUGAUGAAGGUCUUCGGAUCGUAAAACUCUGUUAUUAGGGAAGAACAAAUGUGUAAGUAACUAUGCACGUCUUGACGGUACCUAAUCAGAAAGCCACGGCUAACUACGUG
Molecule: ribosomal RNA, 497 nt
Filed under: uncultured bacterium
Lineage: Bacteria
Description: partial 16S ribosomal RNA
Rfam family: Bacterial small subunit ribosomal RNA
Source: RNAcentral